GACGAACGCUGGCGGCGUGCUUAACACAUGCAAGUCGAACGGAAAGGCCCUGCUUUUGUGGGGUGCUCGAGUGGCGAACGGGUGAGUGACACGUGAGUAACCUGCCCCUGACUUUGGGAUAACUUCAGGAAACUCGGGCUAAUACCGGAUAGGAGCUCCUGCUGCACGGUGGGGGUUGGAAAGUUUCGGCGGUUGGGGAUGGACUCGCGGCUUAUCAGCUUGUUUGUGGGGUAGUGGCUUACCACGGCUUUGACGGGUAGCCGGCCUGAGAGGGUGACCGGCCACAUUGGGACUGAGAGACGGCCCAGACGCCUACGGGACGCAGCAGUGGGGAAUAUUGCACAAUGGGCGGGAGCCUGAUGCAGCGACGCCGCGUGCGGAAUGACGGCCUUCGGGUUGUAAACCGCUUUCGCCUGAGACGAAGCGUGAGUGACGGUAAUGGGUAAAGAAGCACCGGCUAACUACGUG
Molecule: ribosomal RNA, 468 nt
Filed under: uncultured bacterium
Lineage: Bacteria
Description: partial 16S ribosomal RNA
Rfam family: Bacterial small subunit ribosomal RNA
Source: RNAcentral